This 409-nucleotide ribosomal RNA is filed under the name Providencia rettgeri. RNAcentral's name for it is "bacterial SSU rRNA". It matches the Rfam family "Bacterial small subunit ribosomal RNA", at positions 604 to 1012 of the family's 1533-position model. The record is from RNAcentral. Lineage: Bacteria; Pseudomonadati; Pseudomonadota; Gammaproteobacteria; Enterobacterales; Morganellaceae.
CGGGCUUAACCUGGGAAUGGCAUCUAAGACUGGUCAGCUAGAGUCUUGUAGAGGGGGGUAGAAUUCCAUGUGUAGCGGUGAAAUGCGUAGAGAUGUGGAGGAAUACCGGUGGCGAAGGCGGCCCCCUGGACAAAGACUGACGCUCAGGUGCGAAAGCGUGGGGAGCAAACAGGAUUAGAUACCCUGGUAGUCCACGCUGUAAACGAUGUCGAUUUGAAGGUUGUUCCCUUGAGGAGUGGCUUUCGGAGCUAACGCGUUAAAUCGACCGCCUGGGGAGUACGGCCGCAAGGUUAAAACUCAAAUGAAUUGACGGGGGCCCGCACAAGCGGUGGAGCAUGUGGUUUAAUUCGAUGCAACGCGAAGAACCUUACCUACUCUUGACAUCCAGAGAACUUAGCAGAGAUGCUUU